GUAAGCUAUAUUUACUAGGAAAAGGUAUUCUUAAGUACAAAAUAAUUUUAAGUUGUAACCUCAUUAUUUUUAAAAUGGCAGAUGAUGAAGAUAAGAAAGAAGUUGAUGAGUCUGACACCAGACCAGAAUUUUUUUGGAACUAUCUUAACAAAACAAUGCGAUUAAAAUUAGAUAAAUGGACCAAGCUGAUAACAACUAAUGAAUACAAGGACCAUCAACUGAACCAAUAUAUC
Drosophila montana is the source of this 233-nucleotide long non-coding RNA. RefSeq lists it as uncharacterized. The record is from RefSeq and is a predicted model, not a curated record. Lineage: Eukaryota; Metazoa; Arthropoda; Insecta; Diptera; Drosophilidae. The transcript is spliced from 3 exons.